ACGUCGGACCAGGCUUCAUUC
RNAcentral lists this microRNA (21 nucleotides) under Prunus persica (peach). RNAcentral describes it as "microRNA miRNA_338". The record is from RNAcentral. Lineage: Eukaryota; Viridiplantae; Streptophyta; Magnoliopsida; Rosales; Rosaceae.